This 463-nucleotide ribosomal RNA is filed under the name uncultured bacterium. RNAcentral describes it as "bacterial SSU rRNA". It matches the Rfam family "Bacterial small subunit ribosomal RNA", at positions 1 to 507 of the family's 1533-position model. The record is from RNAcentral.
UACGUAGUUUGAUCAUGGCUACAGAACGAACGCUGGCGGUAUGCUUAACACAUGCAAGUCGAACGGGGUAGCAAUACCUAGUGGCAAACGGGCGAGUAAUACAGAGGAAUCUACCUAGCAGUAAGGAAUAACUCUGGGAAACCAGAGCUAAUACCAUAUAUUACCCUUCGGGGGAAAGAUUUAUCGCUGUUAGAUGAGCCUCUGCCGGAUUAGCUAGUUGGUAAGGUAAUGGCUUACCAAGGCGAUGAUCCGUAGCUGGUCUGAGAGGAUGAUCAGCCACACUGGGACUGAGACACGGCCCAGACUCCUACGGGAGGGCAGCAGUGGGGAAGUAUUGGACAAUGGGCGCAAGCCUGAUCCAGCAAUACCGCGUGAGUGAUGACGGUCUUCGGAUUGUAAAACUACUUUUAGUUAGGGAAGAUAAUGACGGUACCUACAGAAAAAGACACCGGCAAACUUCGUG